RNAcentral lists this ribosomal RNA (327 nucleotides) under uncultured eukaryote. RNAcentral describes it as "partial 18S ribosomal RNA". It matches the Rfam family "Eukaryotic small subunit ribosomal RNA", at positions 1470 to 1796 of the family's 1831-position model. The record is from RNAcentral.
CCCUUAGAUGUUCUGGGCCGCACACGCGCUACACUGAAGGAGGCAGCGUGUACUCCUGGAUCGAAAGAUUUGGGUAACCCGCGAAUCUCCUUCGUGCUAGGGAUUGAGGUUUGCAAUUAUCCUUCUUGAACGAGGAAUUCCCAGUAAGUGCAAGUCAUAAGCUUGCGCUGACUACGUCCCUGCCCUUUGUACACACCGCCCGUCGCUACUACCGAUUGAAUGAUUUAGUGAGGACUUCGGACUGGGACCGAUGCGGCUUUCGGGCUGCGUCGGUAUUCUGGAAAGAUGUCCAAACUGUAUCAUUUAGAGGAAGUAAAAGUCGUAACA